This 229-nucleotide unclassified non-coding RNA is filed under the name Hevea brasiliensis (rubber tree). The record is from RNAcentral. Lineage: Eukaryota; Viridiplantae; Streptophyta; Magnoliopsida; Malpighiales; Euphorbiaceae.
AAAAAUAAUGCUCAGUUAGGAAGAGUAGAAAUGUAUAUGAUAAUCUUAACUUUAAAAAGAAUAAUGGAAAGAUUUGUAAAUAAAAAGAAAAGUUUAGUGUGAGAGAAAAUAUGAUAGAAAAAUGCACAUAGAGAUUAUAAAAAGAAGAAAAAAAUAUAUUAUCAGCAUGUGUGUUUUUAUUGGUUGAAUUAUUGAGAUAAAAACUGUUAUUGUUAAUAAUAAAUAAUGG